UUACAAAAUUCAUCUUGAAAACGUUGACAGCUCUAGGCUCUGCUGUCCCCACAUUCUUUUCUUUCUCUGUUCUAGAGUCCUUUCUUGGAAAUAUUCCCCCAAAAAAUCUACCCUACUCUAACUCUGAGGCUUUCCCCAACAUAAUCAAGUCAAAAACAUUCCAAAGUAUAAAUUUUAAAACUCCAAAAAUGCAUGUAUUAGAAGUUUUUGUGCUACUUCUAUUGUUGUAAUGUUAUAUUUACAUUGUAGUCAUAAUAGCAAUAAUGUAUCUUUGUGACUGUUUUUCAUGUAUCUUCUCCCAGUUUGUGGUAUUGCUGUAAAUUACUCAUUGGUAUAUUUAAAAAUGAAGCACUUUUAUUUAGGCAUGCACCUCUUCAAGAAAACCCAAUGCAGAAAAUCAAAAUCAAACAAAUUUGGCAGUGAUUAUUUUCUUCACAAAAUGUAUUCAACAAAUAAAACUGAUUCUUAAAUAUCUAGCUUAUUCAUUAAUUUAAAACUAUUGAGCACUGUUAUGUGUCAGACACUAUUCUUAUGCUAGAAAAAGUGUAGAAUGAGAAUAAAAGUUUCUUGCCUUUUUUGUGUAUGGAACAAACUGUCUAACCUUUAUGUAUAUUUAAAAUAGAGCUCAUUUAAAGGGAAAUUAUUUCAAGAAUAUAUUUAUUGGAAAAAAAUCAAGGCAUAAACAGUGGGUAUAAACCACAGGCCACAAAUUCAACUGUGUGAGAAUUUAUAUUUUGCUUUGAUUAUUCAGCUUUACCUCUAAUUCCACUUGGAUAGCAGCACCUUACCCUUGUCAAUUCUUUGCUCCCCAUCCCUCCCUAAACAUCUCAGCAUUGUGCCUCAGAGUGGGAGUCUUCAGAAUGCCCGGGCAUGGGAGAAAGUACAAUCUAGUCCAUGCAGUCACUACUGAGAUGCUUUCUUUGUAUCUGAAUGGCCCUUUCGGAACCACCAGAAGCCAGAUCAUGAUAGAUCAGGUUGAGGAUGCAGAAAUAUUUCUACCGCUGUCUUGCCACAUGAGGCACAGAUAUUUCUGUAAAGCUGUCUAUGGCCCUUCUACCUAAAAGCCCAUGCACUCUUUUCCUAUCUUGGCCUUUCUACUUCCACCCUGGGACUCUGCCCAGAAGGAGAAAGAAAGAUAUAUUAUGUAUAUUUUUUCUUUUUGGCCAGGUUUCUAUUCUGUGGUACUUCUCUUCCUCCUCUUCAUCUCCCAAACACGCACACAUUUACACACUUGGCAAUGAAAAUAGGAUCUACUUUUACUUCAUUUUGUUCCCUCUCCCUUCCAUCCAUUAUAUUGAUCUCAUCUGAAGAGUUUGCCCUCUGUAUCUGCAGGUUCCACACCCAAAGAUUCAAUCAAUCAUUGACAUUGCUUCUUAAAUUUCAACAUUCUUCCUUCUCUUCUUGUUUUUCUUCUUCCUGGAGAACAUAUCCCAGUAAUUCUCUCAGAAAGGUCCAUUUAUUGCUAUUUUAUCCUUGAUGAAUAAGCUGACACCAGAGGCCACAAGUCUCAAAUGGCAAUUUAGUGAAGAACCAUAAUGUAGAAUUAGUGGGAGCCCUGAGCUUGUUUUCCUGCAACUAGACGGUCCUAUCUGGGGGUGACGGGGAACAGUGUCAGAUCAUCAGGCAUUAGAUUCUCAGGAGCACACAACUUAGGUUUCGAAUUUGCAGUUCAUCAUGGGGUUUGUUAUGAGAAUCUAAUCCUCCCACUGACCUGACAGAAGGCAGAGAGCAGGCGGUAAUGUGAGUGAUGGGGAGCAGCUGUAAACACAGAUGAAGCUUCGCUUGCUUGCCUCCUGCUGUGUGGCCUGGUUCCUAACAGGCCACA
RNAcentral lists this long non-coding RNA (1825 nucleotides) under Homo sapiens (human). RNAcentral describes it as "HSALNT0077111". The record is from RNAcentral. Lineage: Eukaryota; Metazoa; Chordata; Mammalia; Primates; Hominidae.